RNAcentral lists this ribosomal RNA (492 nucleotides) under uncultured bacterium. Its description in RNAcentral is "partial 16S ribosomal RNA". It matches the Rfam family "Bacterial small subunit ribosomal RNA", at positions 29 to 507 of the family's 1533-position model. The record is from RNAcentral.
AGUGAACGCUGGCGGUAGGCCUAACACAUGCAAGUCGAACGGCAGCACAGUAAGAGCUUGCUCUUACGGGUGGCGAGUGGCGGACGGGUGAGGAAUACAUCGGAAUCUACUUUUUCGUGGGGGAUAACGUAGGGAAACUUACGCUAAUACCGCAUACGACCUACGGGUGAAAGCAGGGGAUCUUCGGACCUUGCGCGAUUGAAUGAGCCGAUGUCGGAUUAGCUAGUUGGCGGGGUAAAGGCCCACCAAGGCGACGAUCCGUAGCUGGUCUGAGAGGAUGAUCAGCCACACCGGAACUGAGACACGGUCCAGACUCCUACGGGAGGCAGCAGUGGGGAAUAUUGGACAAUGGGCACAAGCCUGAUCCAGCCAUACCGCGUGGGUGAAGAAGGCCUUCGGGUUGUAAAGCCCUUUUGUUGGGAAAGAAAAGCAGCAGGUUAAUACCCCGCUGUUCUGACGGUACCCAAAGAAUAAGCACCGGCUAACUUCGUG